This is a long non-coding RNA of Papaver somniferum (opium poppy), 794 nucleotides long. RefSeq lists it as uncharacterized. The record is from RefSeq and is a predicted model, not a curated record. The transcript is spliced from 4 exons. Lineage: Eukaryota; Viridiplantae; Streptophyta; Magnoliopsida; Ranunculales; Papaveraceae.
ACAGAAUCAGAUCGAGAGUUUGAGAGAAGAGAUGGAGAAAGAAAUCCAGAGAGAGAGAGGGAGAGUUAGAUCGAGAGAAAGAGUGACGAUGAGUUCAUCCAUGACUGUUGACGGUAGUGCUUGUUGAAAAAAUGAUUCUUCUUCUUCGUCAAAACGAGACAUGUGGAAAUGGAUAGCAAUGCUGUAAAUGAAAAUCUCUUUACCCAUCAGAUUGGUAGCGACAUUGUCUAGAAGCCAGGAAGACCAGUCCUUGUUGUUAGCUGGACUGCAGAUGAAGAUUUUGGCAUGCUUCUGGAAGCCGCUUUAAUACAUGAUAGGUGUGUUGCUGCCAUAAUGAAUGAGGAUGAAAGAGAUGUUGUUUGAGGGCUCUCGCACUGAAAAUAGUAGCAUGUACCCAAAGUUGUUGUUCAUUUACGCAGUGAAAAAAGUAGUGUGUUGCUAAAACCAACAAUUUUUUGUUAAUAAUCAAAAUGCAAAACUACUCGAGGUGUCGUUCGUGAUAUGUUGCCUGGAGAUGAUGCAUAUGAGUUACGAGUGAAGCUUCUGAAGCAAGUUCCGGAAGAGUACUCGUAUAAAGACGAUGAGUAACUUCUGACAGUCUGCAUUAGUAGUUUCAUUUUUGUUCUAUGUUAAAAGAAUAAAUAAAUGGACUCCAAGUCAUCUUACACAAACAAGCUCUCUUAAAAACCUUACUAGAAUUGUAAUUUUUGGGGUGUUCAACGUCUUACUGUAGUAGCAAACAUCAAUUGUUCGUGUAGGUUGAACCAUAUUAAAAGCUCUUUCCGUUGCCGAAA